ACCUGGCUGGCUCAGUUGGUAGAGUGCCAGACUCCUGAUCUCGGGUUUGUGGGUUCGAGCCCCAUAUUGGGUA
Non-coding RNA from Neomonachus schauinslandi (Hawaiian monk seal), 73 nucleotides. Lineage: Eukaryota; Metazoa; Chordata; Mammalia; Carnivora; Phocidae. The record is from the annotation of a RefSeq genome assembly.